GGAUUCCCCUAGUAACGGCGAGUGAAGAGGGAAGAGCUCAAAUUUUGAAUCUGGCGUCUUUGGCGUCCGAAUUGUAAUCUAGAGAAGUGUUUUCCGUGAUGGACCGUGCACAAGUCUCCUGGAAUGGAGCGUCAUAGAGGGUGAGAAUCCCGUAUAUGGCACGGACUACCGUUACUCUGUGAUACACUCUCAACGAGUCGAGUUGUUUGGGAAUGCAGCUCUAAAUGGGUGGUAAAUGCCAUCUAAAGCUAAAUAUUGGCGAGAGACCGAUAGCGAACAAGUACCGUGAGGGAAAGAUGAAAAGCACUUUGGAAAGAGAGUGAAACAGUACGUGAAAUUGUUGAAAGGGAAACGCUUGAAGUCAGUCGCACCGUUCAGGAUUCAGCCUUGCUUCUGCUUGGUUUACUUCCUGUUCAGUGGGUCAACAUCAGUUUUGGUCGGAGGAGAAAGGCUUGGGGAACGUGGCAGCAUUCGUGCUGUGUUAUAGCCCCUUGUUGUAUACUUCGACUGGGACUGAGGACCGCAGCACGCCUUUGGCCGGGGUUCGCCCACGUACGUGCUUAGGAUGUUGGCAUAAUGGCUUUAAGCGACCCGUCUUGAAACACGGACCAAGGAGUCUAACAUGUGCGCGAGUGUUUGGGUGUUAAACUCGGACGCG
RNAcentral lists this ribosomal RNA (658 nucleotides) under uncultured Sebacinales. RNAcentral describes it as "eukaryotic LSU rRNA". It matches the Rfam family "Eukaryotic large subunit ribosomal RNA", at positions 72 to 716 of the family's 3401-position model. Lineage: Eukaryota; Fungi; Basidiomycota; Agaricomycetes; Sebacinales. The record is from RNAcentral.